GAUAUGGCUCAGGACGAACGCUGGCGGCGCGCCUAACACAUGCAAGUCGAACGGUGAAGAGGAGCUUGCUCCUCGGAUCAGUGGCGGACGGGUGAGUAACACGUGAGCAACCUGGCUCUAAGAGGGGGACAACAGUUGGAAACGACUGCUAAUACCGCAUGACGUAUCGGGAUGGCAUCUUCCUGAUACCAAAGAUUUUAUCGCUUAGAGAUGGGCUCGCGUCUGAUUAG
This 230-nucleotide ribosomal RNA is filed under the name uncultured bacterium. Its description in RNAcentral is "partial 16S ribosomal RNA". It matches the Rfam family "Bacterial small subunit ribosomal RNA", at positions 15 to 244 of the family's 1533-position model. The record is from RNAcentral.